This 253-nucleotide ribosomal RNA is filed under the name uncultured bacterium. RNAcentral's name for it is "partial 16S ribosomal RNA". It matches the Rfam family "Bacterial small subunit ribosomal RNA", at positions 524 to 776 of the family's 1533-position model. The record is from RNAcentral.
UACGUAGGGGGCAAGCGUUGUCCGGAUUUAUUGGGCGUAAAGAGCGUGUAGACGGCCAGGUAGGUCAGCUGUGAAAACUCGAGGCUCAACCUCGAGACGUCGGUUGAAACCACCUGGCUAGAGUCCGGAAGAGGAGAGUGGAAUUCCUGGUGUAGCGGUGAAAUGCGUAGAUAUCAGGAGGAACACCGGUGGUGUAGACGGCUCUCUGGACCGUAACUGACGCUGAGACACGAAAGCGUGGGUAGCAAACAGG